RNAcentral lists this ribosomal RNA (436 nucleotides) under uncultured bacterium. RNAcentral describes it as "bacterial SSU rRNA". It matches the Rfam family "Bacterial small subunit ribosomal RNA", at positions 335 to 788 of the family's 1533-position model. The record is from RNAcentral.
ACUCCUACGGGAGGCAGCAGUGGGAAUCUUAGACAAUGGGGCAAGCCCUGAUCUAGCCAUGCCGCGUGAGUGACGAAGGCCUUAGGGUCGUAAAGCUCUUUCGCNGGAGAAGAUAAUGACGGUAUCCAGUAAAGAAACCCCGGCUAACUCCGUGCCAGCAGCCGCGGUAAUACGGAGGGUCCAAGCGUUAUCCGGAAUCACUGGGUUUAAAGGGUGCGUAGGCGGAUAACUAAGUCUAAGGUGAAAGUCUGUGGCUUAACUAUAGAAUUGCCUUGGAUACUGGUUAUCUUGAAUUGGGUUGAGGAUGGCGGAAUGUGACAUGUAGCGGUGAAAUGCAUAGAUAUGUCAUAGAACACCGAUUGCGAAGGCAGCCAUCUGGGCCUUGAUUGACGCUGAGGCACGAAAGCGUGGGGGAGCGAACAGGAUUAGAUACCCU